UGUUUCUUCAUUUUUCCCCAAUUAUAUGUCAGGUUCCUUGUGAAAUCAGAAACCAUGGGGAUUCAUUAUUGCUAGGCUUGAUGGAAUUGCAAUUUUUUAACUAUGUAAUAAAUUAACAUUUAAUACUGAGAGAUUUCUUCUUAAACUAGAAGGUUGCUUUUGUUUUAAAGAAGACUUUUGCAAGGAGAAGCAAAAGAAACCAUUCAGAAAAUUCAGGAGAUAAAAAUCCUAUCCAAGCAAGUGAAUCUUUGAUCUUUGAAGCCAUUUACUUUGUCGGGAUAUCAUUUUGUGGUUAAAAAAAGGGGAGGAAGGAUUAAACAUCAAAAAUCACUGAGUCAAAAUUCUCUUAACUUUACCAAUUUUGUACUCUUCUGUUUCCAGUUUUUUUCAUAUACUUUUCUUUCCAUCCUGGUUAUCUUUGUUCUUUUCUAGCUCAUUUCCCACACUAAGAGAAGACAUAAAUAUAAAGUUCUAUAUAGAGUCAGAAUUCUCUCAGAAAUGCAAAUUUGUGUAACUGUCAAAGAAAAAAAUGUAUCACAUUUUUCUCAUUUGAUUCAAUGAUUAUUUUAUUGUCAGGCUGGUUAGGUUUAGGACCUUCACAGCCUGAGUUUUGUUUUUUUUUUUUUCCUUAUAAAUUUUCACUAAAUUAACAUGUUGACAUAUAUCAUUAGAAUUUCAGAUUUUGACUUUACCAUUAACCAGAGUCUAUUUCAGGGGCUUUGAGGGCAUUGUUUCUAUUUAAAAUGAAAGGAACAUGUGAAUCAGGUUCAGAUGUCUAGUGUGUAGGUGCAUACACAUGAGUGUGCACACAUGUAACUGCUUCAGCAUUACACACACUAACAUCUUGCUAUAAUGAAAGUUUUGGUGUUCAUCCUCAAUGAAACAUAAAAUUUCUGACUUUAUGGAGGCAACUGUAGAAUUUUUCAUAUUAUUGUUAAAUCCAAUAUUUUAGUUGUAAAAUAAUGUACCUCUCAGUCUUUCACUACAUACUUUUAAUUCAUUUUCCUUCAGAAAAAAUGAAAAAAGUCAUUGUCAUCAAAUAUAUGGAUGAAUAUACAAUGUAACAUUUUACAUUUUAUUUAUUGACAUUUAGUCCUCUGAAAAGUCUGCUUAAGUUACUAUUAAAGGAAAAUGGGUUAUUUCCAAAACUGCUACCACAUGGGAUUGCACUGAUUGGCUUCAUGCUCAUCUUAUCAAGAGCAAGAUAUUAGGAGGGUUUAUACUGCAUGUGGAAAUGUCAGCUGUGGUGUUCUGAUGUCUCAGUGAAUGUUUACUAUAAUCAUUAUUCAGUAGUCACUUGCAGUUUGGGAUUACAACUUUAAUAUCACCAGAAAAAUUUAGGCAAAUCUUGACAAAUUUGGUAGUGACUCCUUAUGGUUCUUUUGGAAGUGUGGCAUUUGAUUUAUUUGCAUACUGAUGGUCAACCUUUUUUAUUUUUAGGGCAGAUUGAUUCACUACUGUUAGUUUGACCAUUAUAUUCAAACCAGUUAAUUAUGUUGAUUUAAAAAUAAAUUUUAAAAGAGACUAUAAAGUUAGCUAUGUUUAUAGUUCUAUGAAACCACAUUUUCUAGCAUGUAGUUAUUUGACAUUUAGUUACUAACACCAAGUAAAGGUGAGGGUGAUUCUGAAGUAAAAGUAUAAUACGUGAUAUGGGUGGCAAAGCUGACUACUCACAGAUGUCUCAAAGACAUUCAUAUCUAGAUCAGCAGGUAUUUUUGAGGCAGCGGGAAGGCCUUUUGACUGAAGGCCUGGACUACACAACCAGAAUAGGUGCGCCUUGGUUGUGCCAAUAUGGUCCUCAUAGUCACUUUUGUAUAUCUCUGUAGUCCAACAAAUAUUUUCACCAAGAUAUAGAGGGCAUUAAGAUAUGCCUAAAACCUUUAAAAACUUUAAAAAAUCCCAAUUCUUAACAAUUUAGAGAGAAAGAGAAAGAUUGGCUAAUGGAAGAAGAGACACAAUUCAAAUACUGGUUAUUAAUAUUGUGUUUCAAGUAUAUAGUUUUCUGGAAAUGAAUAUUUAUAGUAGUAAUCAUCCUUCAUGUUGGUAAAGUAAUAGCUCUAUUUGAAUCAAAAAGUAUUUUUAACAUUUUGCCAAAAGUUUUAAUAUAUCUAUCAUCUAUAUAUCAUAUUUUUGCUGAACCAUUUGGAUAUAAGUUGCAGUCAUCAUGAUACUUCACCCCUAAAUGCUGCAGCAGCCAUCUUACAUACCUAAUACCAUUGUCACACCCAAGAUGAUCAAUAAAAUUCAAUAAUAUCAAUUAAUAUACCUUUAGAUUCAGAUCUUUGCACUUGACUCCAGUAUGUCUUUAAGAGCCAAAACAAAUGUUUUGAUAUAACAUUUUGCCAAGUGAAUCAAGUUCUUAUAAUGUCAUAACUAUAUUUUCUCAUUGGCCAUUGAACAGGCUUGCGUCUCCGUGGUCCCAAGCUACCAACUGAACCCACUAGAGUAAUUUGCUGGAAUGAGAAAUACUAACUGCCAAAACCAAAAAACAUUAAUCAGCAACCAGCCUGACUAUGAUUUCCAAGGUGCUAAUCACUUGGAAAAAUUGCCUCUCAUUGGCUCAGUCUAGAGAUAAUUACUAAUUAAAAAGCAGCUAGAAUAGUGAGAAGGUAUAUUAGCAUUUUAAUGGGUCUUGGUGCCCAAGGCUUGGAUUAUAAAUUAUGAAGACUGCAUUAGCCAGAUGAACAGGAUUAAUUAGCAUGCUAGUAUUACCUGGCAUCCUGUGGUGGUUGAGGAUAAACAAAGUGACCAUAACCAUUUUGGCAUAGUUUAUCAUUGCUCUUGGUGGUGAGAGGUAGGGUUUUAUUCUCUAGUUAGAGCACUGGCUGAAAGUCAGAAAUUCUGGGUACUAAUAAAUAGCAAAGCCUUUAGUCCUUCUGUACUUUGGCUAAAAUCUAUCUUCAUGUACUUCAGUUUCCUCUAUUAACUGAAAAGGGGAACCUGUGUAAACUCUUUACUCAUUAGUCUCUUCAUCUAUAAUAUAAAGAAGCUGAACUAGAAAUUCUAUAAGAUCCAUUCCAGAUUUGAGAUUUUAUGGGACUGUAUAGAUUCAUGCCCAGUAACAGAUCUGGAAUGGAAGGAAACGUAGGCUAAAAGCAAAUAUGUUUCACUAAACCAAUAUUUCCAAAUGAAAACAACCUAUAAACAAAUAUACCAGGGGUGAGUUUAUAUUUCCCAAGUCAAGCAGGCUGCUUUUUUGGCCUCCUACGUGGGUAUCCUUCUCAGAUAAGUAAAUGAUUGUUUUGUUUGCUCUUUUCUAGAACUGUAACUUCUAUACAGGUAUUGUGGGAAUCCUGAAAAGGAGAGAGGUGAGAUUUUCAUCUCAUCUGAGAGCUGGAACAUUCUAUUGAGCUCAUUAGAAGGAAUGUUACUUUCAGACUUCUUUAUUCAGUGGUUUCAGUUGUACUAAGGUAAAACCAUUUGACAGAGUAAAAUUUUUCUGCAGUUGUGACAUGAAGAGUCUAGUUUCUGUCACAAGAAUCUUUUCCUCAAUGAGUAUGUGGCUUUGAUGAGAGAUAUUUCUACUAUUGAACUUAAUGAUAAUAAUUAACAUUAAAUGAACAUUUCUGUUUGACAGGAUAGGGCUAAUUGUUUUACCAGGAUUAUUAGUAUAUUAUAGUUAAUCCUUAUGAAACACCAUGACAUUGGAUUUUUAAUAGCCCCAUAUAAUAGAUGAAUAAACUUAGAGAGUUUAGGCCACCCAACUGAGGUAAGGGGUUGGAAUUUAAAACCAAGGCAGGGUCUCAGAGUGCUCACUGCUACUACUGAUGCUAUGGCUAAAGUUACAGAAAGCAUGAGUCUUUGCUCAGUGUACUUAUGGCUCCAUGUCUCCAAGAAGAGACCUGAAAGUUUCAGAAAAUCCUUAAAGUUUUCCUUUGUCUUCCCUGCUUGUUACUUGCUCCCCAAUACCUACGACAGACACCUCAGUAGCUUCCUAACUGCCAGGCAGAUUCUUGGCAGUUUUGCUGUAGAAGGGAUUUAAGAAUUGAAGGGGUUGGCUGCCAAGGGUCCUUUCUAGUUUUGAAUGUCUUAAUCUCACUUGCAAUUCACAGCAUACAUUUGGAUUAUGAUUAGUAUUCCAGUGCCAGAACUUAGCCUCAUGUCAGUGUGAUGCCCUGAUUUGCCACCUUGAUGUUUAACAAAUAGGUGGCAUUGAUAAAGCAUGUUCAAAAACCAAGUGUGUCGAUGUGUUAACUUCUGUAUAAGGUCCGUGGUUCUCAUCACAAUGAGUUAAGAAACACUACUGCUUAUGACCUUGGUUUGGUCAUAGCUCAGUGUCAUACUCCUGCUGCAUUUUGUUGGUUCCCCGAGGUGCCUUUCUCUCCACUCUUUUUAACAAUGACACAUGAGAUAGCAUAACGCUUAAAUAGCAGAAUCUAGUUACAACAUUUAGUUUUAUUUGAAGUUUUUUCUUAUCAAUGAAAUUUAAUCAUAUAAAAGAAUGGAGGGAAUUUGAAAGAUAUAUUUAAAUAACUAUUUUGAUAAUAACUAGUGGUGUGUCCAUAAAACACGUGAUACUUCACUGUUCAUCUCAACUGAAGUACCCUGGGAUCUGUCCCCAAAUGGUUGAUUCCAUUCUGUAGAGCAUUAUAACCUGGUAUAUUAGCUUGUUCAGAUAUAAUAACAAAAUAUGGUAGACUGAGUGGCAUAAACAGCAGCAAUUUAUUUCUCAUAGGUCUGGAUGAGAAGUCCAAGAUCGGAGUUCCCAUCAUGGCUCAGUGGUUAACGAAUCCGACUAGGAACCAUGAGGUUGUGGGUUUGAUCCCUGGCCUUGCUCAGUGGGUUAAGUAUCUGGCGUUGCCAUGAGCUGUGUGUAGGUUGCAGACGCAGCUUGGAUCCUGUGUUGCUGUGGCUCUGGUGUACGCCAGCAGCUAGAGUUCCGAUUAGACCCCUCACCUGGGAACCUCCAUAUGCCUCAG
RNAcentral lists this long non-coding RNA (4919 nucleotides) under Sus scrofa (pig). Its description in RNAcentral is "lncRNA (ENSSSCG00000062568.1)". The record is from RNAcentral. Lineage: Eukaryota; Metazoa; Chordata; Mammalia; Artiodactyla; Suidae.